UUUAUGAGAGUUUGAUCCUGGCUCAGGACGAACGCUGGCGGCGUGCCUAAUACAUGCAAGUCGUACGCUUCUUUUUCCACCGGAGCUUGCUCCACCGGAAAAAGAAGCGUGGCGAACGGGUGAGUAACACGUGGGUAACCUGCCCAUCAGAAGGGGAUAACACUUGGAAACAGGUGCUAAUAC
RNAcentral lists this ribosomal RNA (183 nucleotides) under Enterococcus faecium. RNAcentral's name for it is "partial 16S ribosomal RNA". It matches the Rfam family "Bacterial small subunit ribosomal RNA", at positions 1 to 169 of the family's 1533-position model. Lineage: Bacteria; Bacillati; Bacillota; Bacilli; Lactobacillales; Enterococcaceae. The record is from RNAcentral.